Molecule: non-coding RNA, 74 nt
Organism: Aedes aegypti (yellow fever mosquito)
Lineage: Eukaryota; Metazoa; Arthropoda; Insecta; Diptera; Culicidae
Source: Rfam
CCUCUCAUGGCGUAGUGGUUAACGCGCCCCAACUAGAGAUCGGGGAGCCGUGAGUUCGAUUCUCACUGAGAAGA